Molecule: ribosomal RNA, 372 nt
Filed under: uncultured organism
Description: partial 16S ribosomal RNA
Rfam family: Bacterial small subunit ribosomal RNA
Source: RNAcentral
GUAGGUGGCAAGCGUUGUCCGGAAUUAUUGGGCGUAAAGCGCGCGCAGGCGGUUCUUUAAGUCUGAUGUGAAAGCCCACGGCUCAACCGUGGAGGGUCAUUGGAAACUGGAGAACUUGAGUACAGAAGAGGAAAGCGGAAUUCCGCGUGUAGCGGUGAAAUGCGUAGAGAUGUGGAGGAACACCAGUGGCGAAGGCGGCUUUCUGGUCUGUAACUGACGCUGAGGCGCGAAAGCGUGGGGAGCAAACAGGAUUAGAUACCCUGGUAGUCCACGCCGUAAACGAUGAGUGCUAAGUGUUAGGGGGUUUCCGCCCCCCUUAGUGCUGCAGCUAACGCAUUAAGCACUCCGCCUGGGAGUACGGCCGCAAGGCUG